Oreochromis aureus is the source of this 566-nucleotide long non-coding RNA. The record is from Ensembl. Lineage: Eukaryota; Metazoa; Chordata; Actinopteri; Cichliformes; Cichlidae.
GAUCUGUGGAAGCACCUGUAUUGCUUUGACCAUCGUGGUUAUCUGUGGUGUGUGUUUUUUACUGCGAUGGGAUCAGGCUCCUGUCACAUAUUACACAAGCCUCCUUGUCUUCAAUCUAUUCCAGUUCCCAUUUGUAAUGGCCGUGAAGAUCAGCGAUACAUCCUUCAGUAUUCCUCUUGUCAUUUAUCUCUCUGGUUUGAUGGCCACUCUUUACUUCAAGAUGUGCAUUGCUCUGGAAAGGUAUUUUUUCAUCGCAUUUCCGCUGUUGAAGUGCAUCAGGCAACCAAAAGGUUCUGUGCUGGUCUUUGUUUUGGUCUGGGUCCUUUGUUUUGUUAGUGCUGCUCUUGCUGUAACCAUAGAAGACUGUUCACGCUUAAUCAUUCAUGCCUUCUUCCCUGCCCCCGUGUUAAUCUUCUGUUUAGCUGGAACUAUCAAAGCCCUGCCUGCUGCCACAUCAGUCUCCACUGAGGAAAAGCGAAGAAUUGUGGGAACUUUGGUUUUGUUGCUAUUUAACUACUUUCUGAUAAACCUACCUGCAGUUACUCUAUCAAUAUAUCUAUCUGGCA